GAAUCUAAUCCUGUUCUUUAAAAGAAAACCCUCUCACAAACGGAAGUCCGUUGGAUUCGGACGCGGUCGCGCCGCUGUGAUAACUGUAAGCUUUCCGAAUAACCACUGCAAAGCAAUUUGCGGGAAGGUCGGGAAUCUUGGAUUUGUGCAAAUCCGCAGUUUUAGCCAGAAGACGUGUGUUGAUAAGGGUAUUCUC
Molecule: non-coding RNA, 196 nt
Filed under: Coraliomargarita sp. CAG:312
Lineage: Bacteria; Pseudomonadati; Verrucomicrobiota; Opitutia; Puniceicoccales; Coraliomargaritaceae
Also listed under: 1 other name
Source: RNAcentral